UACGGGGGGGGUAAGCGUUGUUCGGAAUUACUGGGCGUAAAGGGCGCGUAGGCGGUCUUGCAAGUCCUGUGUGAAAUCCCUCGGCUCAACUGAGGAACUGCACAGGAAACUGCUUGGCUUGAGUUCGGGAGAGGGAAGCGGAAUUCCGGGUGUAGCGGUGAAAUGCGUAGAUAUCCGGAGGAACACCGGUGGCGAAGGCGGCUUCCUGGACCGACACUGACGCUGAGGCGCGAAAGCUAGGGGAGCAAACGGG
Molecule: ribosomal RNA, 253 nt
Filed under: uncultured bacterium
Lineage: Bacteria
Description: partial 16S ribosomal RNA
Rfam family: Bacterial small subunit ribosomal RNA
Source: RNAcentral